UCCUGUAAAUGAUCUAACUCUGUACAUACCACAUCCACAGAGCUCCCACGAUGAUUAUUAAUAAACUUCAGUUUGUUAUAACGUGGUUUCUUCCUCAGCUCAGAAAUUCCAGGUGUCCACCCAGUCACAACAAUUUGGCAUAGAAGCUCCAGGCUGAAAAGCGAUCGUUAAAGAGAGAGAGAGAUGAUGGCGGUGUUCAGCACAGAGUCGGGCCUGUGUUUUGUAGAGGCUAUGAAGAGCAGUUCGCACAAUAAGCCAGCGGAAUCGAAGAAAGCAAACACUCUAUGGUCUAUGCUCAGAAAUUCCAGGUGGCCACCCAGCCACGACACUACUGUAGUUCCAUUUUGACAACUAUGAUGCAGUUCUGUCUUUUGUGCUUGUUAACAACAAUCACUGGAACUUGCUGCUUUUCCUCCAUAUUUAGAGCUGAUGCUGCUUUGAACUCUGAAGUUUCUUCCUCAUGGUGCGUUAGUUCCUAAGUCUCAUCUAUGAACUGAUCACUUGACCAACAUGCUGCAAUCACCUUUGUGAAUGAACUUGAACAUGUACAAUUAAAAUCACAUCUUGAGCUUCACUUGUUAUCAGUUUAUUUGGCAUUACAACAACACCAGAUCAUUAGUUCUACAGAUUUAACAGGUUUAGACUGUUGGCUAGAAAGUAUUUGCUUGUGAGAGGAAAACAGUGGAAUUACUUCUGAACACCAAAGUUCCAGCAGAUGGAGAAUUUCUACAGUGCAAUUAUAUGAGAAAUAAAUGAGAAAUGCUUAUGAUGUGUUAUAAAAAAAGACACUGGAGACACAGGAGUAUUGAACAAAAAAAAUAAUUUAUUAACUAUUUAUAACUAUUUACAAGCAAUGAUGAACUUUAAACUUAUUACAGAUAUUAAUGUA
Long non-coding RNA from Hemibagrus wyckioides, 889 nucleotides. RefSeq lists it as uncharacterized. The transcript has 3 exons. The record is from RefSeq and is a predicted model, not a curated record. NCBI's taxonomy places the organism in Eukaryota, Metazoa, Chordata, Actinopteri, Siluriformes, Bagridae.